Molecule: long non-coding RNA, 3627 nt
Organism: Pomacea canaliculata
Lineage: Eukaryota; Metazoa; Mollusca; Gastropoda; Architaenioglossa; Ampullariidae
Exons: 2
Source: RefSeq, a predicted model, not a curated record
UGCAGGGGACUACACGUCCUACAAUGCCUCCGUGCCACCCUACGGGCAGUACAGCACGGGGUACCCUGGAGACCCGGCAUGGAGCAUGCGAUAUGGCCACAGCGGCUUGCUGAACACCCCCGCCUACUACUACACCCACUCCGUCAGGAACGAGCCGGCAACAGCAGCAGUGACAUCAUCGAAGACGUAAUCAAGGUCCCUGGGGAGGGACAUCAUGACGUAGCUCGUGACGUUUCUGUGAACAUUACCUGACUAACGGCUCCCCACAAUCCCAUCACCAGGCACAGCUGUCUGGCACUGGCCGAAAACAGUCACUGAUCGGAAAGAUGAGAAGAGAGUGUUUGGUGGUGAUGGAAGGUCCAUACAGAACCAAGUGCAAAUCAUCCUGAGCAAUGACAUAUCGUGAUUAUGAGGCUGUUGAUGAAACGAGUUGGGGUGGGAGUUGGCGGGGGUACUUUUGUAUGGCUCAUUCAAAGUCCCAUUUAUUUGUACUUGUAUGUAAGUAUAAUUAACAACAUUGCUCAUCAUUGUAUGUACAUGUAUAUAUUGUAUAGUAAGAGUUUUGUUCCGAAACAUGAGGUGUUAUCUCCAGAAUUGUCCACGAGUCUCGAAAGUUGCUUAUUUUAUCUGGCUGAAUUUCAUACCCCAACUAUCAUUUUAAUCCUUACCUGUGUUACAGUAGACUGUUGCACCCAUACUUAAGGUGAUAUUGCUGUUUAACUCACGUAAAUGGUUGAAUAUUGUAAUCUGUGAGUUCCUGUGGAUCGACUGAUUGUAUGUUCUAUGUAGUAAUGUUCACACACUACCUCCUGCAUUUUCAUUCAUUCAUUCAUUCCCCUCCUCCCACUCCACACCAAUCUUAUUUUUGGUCGUAUCCACCCCACUUCUCCCUCCUUAUCCACCUCUUCUCGGAUGCCGGGUGCGAUUGAGUAGGUUUGGUCUGAAGGGAGGACGAACUUCAAAAACUGCAGCAUUGGUGUCUGCUGGAACUGACUGCAUCCUGUUUGCAGAAUUUUAACAGGGAUUGUUAGGGGCUCUUGUCCUUUCUUACCAUUUUUUUCUGCGUGCUAGCGUGUGUGUGUGUGUCUGUGUGUGAGAGAGAGAGAGAGGGAGUGUGUGUGUGUCCUUCUGACUUUUUCCCAGCUUUUAUUGGUAUUCUCAUGUGAACUUCAGUUACCAGUAUCUAUAUUUCAAAACUUUCCUCCAUAUUUAUUCAAAAGAGUAACACUCUUUUAAUAUCAGUCUAUCACAACAUUUUUCCUCCUUCCAAAACAAAAAAACCCUUCAGUCAUGACAUUUCUCAAAUAACGAAUUGUUUUAUUUAUGAUACAUAUUGACAAAUGAAUAUUUCCUAAGACAUCAAUUAGAAAAACCGCCUAUACUGGGUCAGUUUUGCCUCUCUACAAUUUUUAGAUACGUUUUCUUGAAUAUUUUAAAAUAUUUUCCCCUUUAAUUUUACUUCGCCUAAGACUUUGAAAGUUAAUAGCUGGUCAGAGCGAAGUUGGUGAGAGCUGGGGAUACAUUAGAAGUAGAGAGGCUGAUUUGUUUGUCUCGUAAAUGUCUGUAGAUUCUUGCCGACCAACUCUUGCAAUGACUUGUAUGAUACGGGUGGAUAAAUGUCAAACUCGAGUUCCCCUCCAGAAACGAAAACUCAGAAGCUAAGGACUGCCGCCAGCUUUUUAUCCAAUUGUUUUAAUCAUCUGUUGUCCUCCUUGAACUCUUCAGAGCACAACAUUUUACAGUCCGAGCUCCCUGGUAAAAACACAAACUCCUAUUUAGAACCCAGAGGACAGGUAGUUGCAGGUAGUUCAUGAUUGAUAGUUCAUGAUUGAACACCACUGUUUUGUUCACUGCUGUGAACACCUAGACAUUGCAGAAGCCGCCUUGGACCAGGACAUUUCUAGGUUUAGUUUGGUUUUUGGAAGGUCGGGUCCUGUCCAACCAUGGUAAAUGUCUGCAUAUAUACUCGUAUACUGCUGAAGUAAAGAUUGACUCUUUGACAUUUCGUGACCAGCGAGGACUGUGUAAGAAUCAAAAUAUGUUUCGUGCAAUAUUCAUUGUUAGUUUUCUGGAUGGUGUGGUGAUGAAGCAGGAUCUGUAUGGUACCACUGCAUGUCAUAUCAACGUGCUGAAGCAUUGCUUUUCUUCAUUGCUCGUGAACGAAUUUGUACAGAGAAUCGUAUUUCAAAACGACAGUGUAUAUAUAAUAUAUACACACACAUACACAUACUUUGAAAUAAUUUCUAAACAUGAACUAUUGUAGAUACUGAAUGUGCUUUUAAAAUUUUAUCAUCUACUUUUUUUGUUCUAGAAAACUAGUUUCCCUUAGUCACCGUCGAAGACCAACUCAUCAACUCAUCGUGUCUGUAGUGUGUUUCUGUGUGUGAAAUGUAUUAUGUUGAGUUUUCCCUUUUUAUUCAAAAUAUUUCCAUGCUGCAUAAUUUUCACACUGAGGUGUUCUUUCUGUAUCAUUUGUAUGGAAUUCCUUUAUAUCAUUCUACCAUUCAUGUCUCUAAACUCACGCCUUUGCUCAUUAUCAGCUUCCAAUUUGAUUGUAUUUUGGGGCUUUUGUGUAGUUCAUUUUUUUCACACACUUUUUGUUGCCUGUAGAAUCUCACGUUUUUAUAUUAAUCGCAAUUCUUGCCACGAAGACAGAAGUAACUGUCUGUGUAUUAAGGAAACAAAGUGUUUUGUCAUGGUAUUUACAAGUUGCUCAACGACAAAUUUUGACUCUCGUGAAAGUCUGUACUCAACCUGUAGAGUUUUAUCACUAAUUACGAUCUCUAACUGGCAGAUAGCGGAAACAAGUGUUCAUGGUCUUGGCAUCCUUUUUGAAAUUUAUUUACAAAUCAGUUAUGUCCAGGGGAGAAAAGUUUCAAACUGAACUUAAGCGGAUGUUGCGAUCUGGCAAUUAAUAUGUAGAGAAAUUUCUUGCAACCCAGAAGAGAAUCAUAAGCUGAUGUGUUUUCCCUAAUUGUUAUAAUCAGUAGAUGAAUUACACCGAGUUCAAUCAGAAGUUCCAUAUAUAAUUAACCGAGAUAUAAUUCACAUAAUGGAUCACAGAAGUCCUGUGUGAGGAAUGCGUUAAUCACAUGCAUACCUGCACAUUUUACUAGACUGAGAAAUAUCUACUUUUUUUUUAGAACUAUUUUCAAGACAUUCCCACUAGAACUUUCUUUUUAUGGAACAGCUUCAAGGAUAACACCUUUUCGGAACAUCUUACCUGAAACACAUCUUGAACCAGGGGAGAGUCGGUGUGGAAGGAGAGAAGACAGAAGCUGUUGCAUUUUAACGAUGAUUUUCCCAAAGUCUCUGUCCUUUCCUAAUGAUAUUUCAAAUUUCAGAGUUUUAUUUUCAAGUAACAAAAUGUGGACAUGGUAUUGAGGAAUGUACAAGUUAAACUUUGAUUUUACCUGAUCAUUUAAACCCUCGACAUUGAUUUCGUAGGCAGGAAUGUGGGUCACUAGGGUCAGUUUGCACUCUUGAAUUUUAUUGAGUCUUGAAACAUAUAGUGCAGUCGUAUGGUUUCACUAUCUUACAUGCCAGGAUCCUCUUUAUUGUAAGCUCAAAAUUCCAUGUACGAAACAAAUCGACAAAUAAAAUUUCCUUCACAUGUGACGUGACAUU